This 1322-nucleotide long non-coding RNA is filed under the name Equus caballus (horse). RNAcentral describes it as "lncRNA (ENSECAG00000052158.1)". The record is from RNAcentral. Lineage: Eukaryota; Metazoa; Chordata; Mammalia; Perissodactyla; Equidae.
GUUUUCUGUGGGAAGAGCAUUCCAGGCAGAGGGCAAGUCCCUGAGGCCAGUGCUGAAGACGCUGUCUGCGUCUACAGGAGGUGAUGGGCUCCUGUCCAGCUACUGUUGUCCAUCGCCUGUGCCCAGGGCUGUGCCAGGCAUUCAGGGAGGAAGACUCACCUGCUAACAAGUCAGUGGGGAUGACACAUGUCUUUGCCCUGAGCAUUUGCUCACUUCUCUGCCACUGGCCCUAGGUGACAGCUGUCCCCCAUGAGUUUCAGCAGAAAGUGUGAUGAUCUGGGGAAGAGGAAGGGAAGGCACCCACUAAUAUUUAGCGUCUGAGCCAGCUGCUAACUGCAUCAUUCCUGGAAUUCUUCAUCCACAUUCCCGAGCCAGCUCAUCUAUUUUGUGCCAGGACACAUCGUAUAUCUCCGACUUGGCUGCCUUGGGUCAUGGUCUCCUUGUGGUCCAAUCUGCAGGGCCAAGGAGGGAGGGCACCAACGUGGCCAGCACAAAGCUAUCCCUUCUGCCAGUGCCCUGGGUGAUGCAGGCACCACUGUUAGACAGUGCUACAAUCCCAGAUUAAUUUUUUUUUUAUGUUUACUCAUGCUUGAGUUUCCUUUGUUGACCUUUGUUACUGUUGCCUAGAGGUCUAUUAAGGGUCCUUAAAAAUUCCUCAGGCACCCAGCCUGGUUCAUUGUGGAUGCUCCUACGCGUUGCCUGGCAGGGGGAGGGCCAUUCAUAGUUAAACAAACAAUAAGUCAUUUCCUGCUCCCUCUUUAGUCUCACCUUUCAACAAAGAAGGGAGGGGGGACCAUAUUUAAUAAACACCAUCCAUUAGAUUAGAUCAACAGUCUCCAAAUAUUGCAUUUCUUCCAGAAACAGUAUCUCUCCUGCCCUCACAGAAGAGCAUGUGGUCAAGAGGAAAUUGAAUAAAAUCCUUUAAUCAGCCGCAGUAGUAUUUGAAUCAUUUAAUUUAGGAUCUGACAACCACAAAUUACUUUAUUUUUCAGGCCAAUUUUAGCUGACCAGGAGAGCUGGCCCAGUCCGACUCAUGCUUAAUAAAUCACCCCCUUGCCUGAUGGUGGAAAGUUUGGGGAAGAGAUUUUUCUGGGGCUUUUCAAACAAAAUCAAAAACAAUCUGCCGUGCUGUGUGUGCCUCACAUCAGUGCUUGGCUAUGCUCCCUUUGCAUGGCUCUGUGGCUGUAAAGUGAACCCUCGGGCUGGAGGGAGUCAGGGACUCGAGGCAGGGAGCUGUCACCUCCUCAGCCUAUGCCUUUUAUUCCUGGCUCCGAAUUCUCAUGGCCAGGAAAACAAGUCAAAUCAGAUUAGUUGCCAGACAU